This 812-nucleotide ribosomal RNA is filed under the name Psathyrella artemisiae. Its description in RNAcentral is "eukaryotic LSU rRNA". The stretch from base 394 to 547 matches the Rfam family "5.8S ribosomal RNA". The record is from RNAcentral. Lineage: Eukaryota; Fungi; Basidiomycota; Agaricomycetes; Agaricales; Psathyrellaceae.
GGAAGUAAAAGUCGUAACAAGGUUUCCGUAGGUGAACCUGCGGAAGGAUCAUUAACGAAUAACUAUGGCGUUGGUUGUAGCUGGCUCCUCGGAGCAAUGUGCACGCCCGCCAUUUUUAUCUUUCCACCUGUGCACCGACUGUAGGUCUGGAUACCUCUCGCCUCCGGGCGGAUGCGAGGGUUGCUCGUAAGGGCUUCCCUUGAACUUCCAGGCUCUACGUCUUUUUACACACCCCAAUAGUAUGAUGCAGAAUGUAGUCAAUGGGCUUCUCAGCCUAUAAAACACUAUACAACUUUCAGCAACGGAUCUCUUGGCUCUCGCAUCGAUGAAGAACGCAGCGAAAUGCGAUAAGUAGGCCCUGGCGGUGCCCUGCCGUUAAACCCCCAACUUCUGAAAAUUUGACCUCGGAUCAGGUAGGAAUACCCGCUGAACUUAAGCAUAUCAAUAAGCGGAGGAAAUGUGAAUUGCAGAAUUCAGUGAAUCAUCGAAUCUUUGAACGCACCUUGCGCUCCUUGGUAUUCCGAGGAGCAUGCCUGUUUGAGUGUCAUUAAAUUCUCAACCUCACCAGUUUUCUGAACUGACUGAGGCUUGGAUGUGGGGGUUUGUGCAGGCUGCCUCACCGGCGGUCUGCUCCCCUGAAAUGCAUUAGCGAGGUUCAUGCUGGACCUCCGUCUAUUGGUGUGAUAAUUAUCUACGCCGUGGACGAGGAUACAGACUCGCUUCUAACCGUCCGCGAGGACAAUACCUUGACAAUUUGACCUCAAAUCAGGUAGGACUACCCGCUGAACUUAAGCAUAUCAAUAAGCGGAGGA